AGAAGAUGGCCGCACUCUCUCUGAU
Molecule: non-coding RNA, 25 nt
Filed under: Mus musculus (house mouse)
Lineage: Eukaryota; Metazoa; Chordata; Mammalia; Rodentia; Muridae
Source: RNAcentral